Molecule: long non-coding RNA, 2336 nt
Filed under: Homo sapiens (human)
Lineage: Eukaryota; Metazoa; Chordata; Mammalia; Primates; Hominidae
Description: non-protein coding LINC01134:17
Source: RNAcentral
ACUGGAGCAGGAAGUCGGCCUGUGGCCGGCCAUGUUCAUGAGGGCGCGUCCCUUGGCACCCCUGUAGCCGCUAUGUUUCCCACGCCCGUGGCAGGCCUGAGAGAUUAUGUUUGCGGGGGGUGCUUUUUUUGUAGCUUCUGUGUUCGCCAUAUUUGAAAGGGGCAGACGGCCAUGUUCGUGAACGGCGCUUCCCUUGGUGCACCUGUGGCCGCCAUGUUUGAGCGAGGACCCCGUGGCAGGCCAGGACCGUUUCUCCGGUGCUAUCCCAGAGCAUGGCGCAUCCACUCAUUCACUCAAGCGUCUCUGAAUUGGGAUGCAUCUGACAGCAAGUGUGGCAUCCGGGCUGCAGUUGCCGUUGUCUGCUCACAUGUGAAUUAAAAAAACAAUCUCAGCAUAUGAAAUCUCUAAUCGCGUAUGAACUUGGUGGUUAUUCCUGGUGCCGUGUGGAUAACUGCAGCCUCAACACCCCAGUCCACAAACCACGUACGGACCAACUGAGGAAGGAGUAGGGGUUCUUGUUGUUGCAGAAAACCCUCCCUCAACUUGCUCUAGAAGAUACCAGCAUUCAUACUUGGAGUGGGCAUCAGCAGCUUGGAAGACACAGCAGUGGGCCCCUCUUAGCAGGAGUGCCCCAUCUCAUGGCUCCCGACGACGACCCAGAGGGUGAUGCUGCGUAGGGGCUCACGGACAUUGGCACUCUAAGUCAGAGAUGCUCAGGUGAAGGGGGCUCUGAUGGUGAGGACAUUCAGAAAUAACAGAGAUUGGCUGGGUACGGUGGCUCACACCUGUAAUCCCAGCACUUUGGGAGGGAAGCCGAGGCAGGUGGAUCACUGGAGGUCAGCCUGGCCAACAUGGUGAAACCCCGUCUCUACUAAAAAUACAAAAAUUAGCUGGGCGUGGCGGCAUGUGUCUGUAAUCCCAGUUACUCGGGAGGCUGAGGCAGGAGAAUUGCUUGAACCUGGGAGGCAGAGGUUGCAGUGAGCCAAGAGUGCGCCACUGCACUCCAGCCUGGGCAACAGAGCGAGACUCUUUGUCUCAAAAAAGAAAAAAAAAAGAAACAACAGAGACUUAUUUUACUUAUGUUUUCCUCUUUUCUGUGUGUAUAAUGAGAGAAAUUAGGAUGCCAAAAAAAAAAGAAAAGAAAAGAAAAGAAAAACCAAGGCCUUCUAAGUCUAUAAAAAUUUUUUAAGUAAUUUUUUUUUUUUUUAAGAGACAGGGUCUUGCUCUGUAGCCCAGGCUGGGGUGCAGCAGUGCAAUCCCAGCUCACUGCAGCCUUGAGCUCCUGGGCUCAAAUGAUCCUCCCACGUUGGCCUCCCAAAGCAUAACACAUUUUAAAAUAAAAUUAUAGAUAAUAAGAAAGCAUUGUGUUAAAGUUUAAUUGGCAGCAUUUUAAAUUCUUUCUUACUGAGUUCCAGUUUUAAGCUCAGCUCUGCAGGUAAACAGCGGCACAAACCUGAUUGCAUUGCCUGGUCCCUCUGAGCCUCGGUUCCCUUAUCUGACAGCAGGGCUGUAUCUAUUCUAGCUCUCUGGGUUGCAGGUGAUGAGGAGAAGCAACCCUAAUCGGCUGAAGCCAAAGAAAGGACUUCAGAUCUCGUAACUGCAAAUCCUGGGGUCUAGCCUCAUAACUGCAAAUCCUGGGGUCUAGCCUCCCUCUCUGGUUCUUGUCACCUCCUCGUGGGCUUCAGUCCCAAGUUCCAGAUCGGGGCAAGACAUGGCCGAAGCCCAGGGCCCGCAUCCUCCCAGAUUCCAGCCACCUGGGAGUGUGUCUGUGGUCCCUGGUCUCUGACGAGGUCCUGUGCCCUGCCAUUGGUUCCAGGGGACUGCCGGAGCUGAUGGGUCAGGCCUGCACUGGAGCUGGGUGGAGUUGGCUCCAUCCUGAGGUUACCCCUAUGCCAGAGGGGCAUGGGUGGUUCCCAGGGUAGGGAAAGUGUGUGCUGGGUACCCAGACAUCGAAGCCUACUGUGCCUCCUUCUGUGACAAGGCAUGUGUCAUGUGUUGCUCCAGGAUGGGCAUGUACUCAUAGAUGGGGCUCAACAGGUUGAAUUCUCCUUUCCCUCCUUUCCUCUGGCUUAUGGUCAUCCACUCUUUGGAGCUAGCCAGGCCAAGUUGGAGGAUGCAAAGGUGAAUGGGGACACUGGCAUUCCAAAGGGGACCCGAUAUAGUUUGGCUGUGUCCCCACCCGAAUCUUACCUUGAAUUCCCAUGUGUUGUGGGAGGGACCUGGUGGGAGGUGAUUGAAUCAUGGGGGCAGGUCUUUCCCAUGCUGUUCUCAUGAUAGUGAAUAAGUCUCAUGAGAUCUGAUGGUUUUAUAAGGGGGAGUUUCCCCACAUAAGCUCU